Molecule: ribosomal RNA, 434 nt
Filed under: uncultured bacterium
Lineage: Bacteria
Description: partial 16S ribosomal RNA
Rfam family: Bacterial small subunit ribosomal RNA
Source: RNAcentral
GCGAACGCUGGCGGCAGGCUUAACACAUGCAAGUCGAGCGGGCACUUUCGGGUGUCCGCGGCGGACGGGUGAGUAACGCGUGGGAACGUGCCCUCUGGUUCGGAAUAACUCAGGGAAACUUGAGCUAAUACCGGAUACGCCCUUUUGGGGAAAGGCUUGCUGCCGGAGGAUCGGCCCGCGUCUGAUUAGCUAGUUGGUGAGGUAACGGCUCACCAAGGCGACGAUCAGUAGCUGGUCUGAGAGGAUGAUCAGCCACACUGGGACUGAGACACGGCCCAGACUCCUACGGGAGGCAGCAGUGGGGAAUAUUGGACAAUGGGCGCAAGCCUGAUCCAGCCAUGCCGCGUGAGUGAUGAAGGCCUUAGGGUUGUAAAGCUCUUUUAUCCGGGACGAUAAUGACGGUACCGGAGGAAUAAGCCCCGGCUAACUUCGUG